This 86-nucleotide transfer RNA is filed under the name Nitrospiraceae bacterium. RNAcentral's name for it is "tRNA-Leu". It matches the Rfam family "tRNA". Rfam says of the family: Transfer RNA (tRNA) molecules are approximately 80 nucleotides in length. Their secondary structure includes four short double-helical elements and three loops (D, anti-codon, and T loops). Lineage: Bacteria; Pseudomonadati; Nitrospirota; Nitrospiria; Nitrospirales; Nitrospiraceae. The record is from RNAcentral.
GCCGAAGUGGUGGAAUUGGUAGANNCACGCUAGGUUCAGGGUCUAGUGCCUGAAAGGGCAUGGGGGUUCGACUCCCCCCUUCGGCA